UGCAAGAGGACGUGGGCCGGGCCCUAUUUCCUAGGUCGAUUUCACCCAAACCUAUUGAGUCUGAGGUCGCCGCCGCCCGCGCGUUCGUCGCAGUCGGAGUCGGAGUCGGAGGACGCCGCCUCGCCGUGGGCCCUUUGCCGGCGAUCCUGCUGUGCAGAUCGGCUGCAACCCAGGCACGAAUUAAGCUUUGGAGCUUUCAGCAGUUGGCAUCAAGAUUUUCCGUGGUCUUCCUCUUGGUCGCUUGGGAAUAUCUGAGUUAUCUGCUUCUUUGCUUUCGCUUAUAGCUUUAACAGUUACAAACUUCCUUGCUUCUGGCUCAAAUCGAGGAUCCAACUCAGAAGACAUACCUUCAGGCAUGAUGUGGCAAUAAUCAGGAGAUAAUAUACACCACAGAAACUGGCAGGAUGAUAAACACUGCCUUGUCUAUUCAACUGAUGGAUCUUUGACACACUUUUUCUUUGGCUUCCUGUCAAGCAAGCUAUGUGGAAUUGUUGAGUACAAUCAGUGCUGCUGGAAGGUUCAGACAAACAAAAGAAUGCAACUUGAUAUUCUAACUGGAUUCAGGUGGCAUGGCCAGUUGCCCGACAUUUACAUUCUUUCAGUUUGGGUGCUUUUUGCUGGUCAGUGUGGAAGUCUACAGAUAUACUCUGCUUUAAGAAAAAAUAUCAUGGCAGCUCAAGAAAUCUUUUCAAUGUGUGCAUUUUUUAACUUUUGGACAUAUUUGCUGAAGGGAUGAUGUAAGGAGAAUGUGAGAGCUGGAGUGGCGCGACUGCAGGAAUUAGUGUUGUCGCACAAGGCUGAGGGUUUGUGGCAUCAGGUGGUGGAGAACGUUCUUUGUUUUUACUGCCUUUCCCUGUAAUAACAGUCUGUACGACCUUCAAUUGCAUAAUAUCUUCAUCAUCUGGUUUGUACUGCCUGCACUAUGCUUCAAAGUUCAAACUCAAGGAAAGAUGCGUGUGGUGUAGUUGUAAGAACUUUGUUAGCUGUUUCUCUUAAUGUUUGUUAACUGUUUUUCUAAUGUAAUCCCUCACUCUUAAAUAAGUUGGCAAAAGCUGCCAGGCACCUGAUUUCUUUUAGUGGAAUACACCUGAUGUUAACUGAA
This is a long non-coding RNA of Oryza brachyantha (malo sina), 1102 nucleotides long. RefSeq lists it as uncharacterized. The transcript is spliced from 3 exons. NCBI's taxonomy places the organism in Eukaryota, Viridiplantae, Streptophyta, Magnoliopsida, Poales, Poaceae. The record is from RefSeq and is a predicted model, not a curated record.